This 303-nucleotide ribosomal RNA is filed under the name uncultured bacterium. RNAcentral describes it as "bacterial SSU rRNA". It matches the Rfam family "Bacterial small subunit ribosomal RNA", at positions 355 to 674 of the family's 1533-position model. The record is from RNAcentral.
UCGGGAAUAUUGCGCAAUGGAGGAAACUCUGACGCAGUGACGCCGCGUAUAGGAAGAAGGUUUUCGGAUUGUAAACUAUUGUCCACAGGGAAGAAAAAAGACUGUACCUGUGAAGAAAGCUCCGGCUAACUACGUGCCAGCAGCCGCGGUAAUACGUAGGGAGCAAGCGUUAUCCGGAAUUAUUGGGUGUAAAGGGUGCGUAGACGGGAUAACAAGUUGGUUGUGAAACCCCUCGGCUCAACUGAGGAACUGCAACCAAAACUAUUAUUCUUGAGUGCAGGAGAGGAAAGUGGAAUUCCUAGU